GCAGUGGUGGUUCAGUGGUAGAAUUCUCGCCUGCCACGCGGGAGGCCCGGGUUCGGUUCCGGCCAUUGCA
This 70-nucleotide transfer RNA is filed under the name Nematostella vectensis (starlet sea anemone). It matches the Rfam family "tRNA". Rfam says of the family: Transfer RNA (tRNA) molecules are approximately 80 nucleotides in length. Their secondary structure includes four short double-helical elements and three loops (D, anti-codon, and T loops). Lineage: Eukaryota; Metazoa; Cnidaria; Anthozoa; Actiniaria; Edwardsiidae. The record is from Rfam by way of RNAcentral.